This 509-nucleotide ribosomal RNA is filed under the name Fusarium oxysporum. Its description in RNAcentral is "eukaryotic LSU rRNA". The stretch from base 181 to 334 matches the Rfam family "5.8S ribosomal RNA". The record is from RNAcentral. Lineage: Eukaryota; Fungi; Ascomycota; Sordariomycetes; Hypocreales; Nectriaceae.
UUCCGUAGGGUUAACCUGCGGAGGGAUCAUUACCGAGUUUACAACUCCCAAACCCCUGUGAACAUACCACUUGUUGCCUCGGCGGAUCAGCCCGCUCCCGGUAAAACGGGACGGCCCGCCAGAGGACCCCUAAACUCUGUUUCUAUAUGUAACUUCUGAGUAAAACCAUAAAUAAAUCAAAACUUUCAACAACGGAUCUCUUGGUUCUGGCAUCGAUGAAGAACGCAGCAAAAUGCGAUAAGUAAUGUGAAUUGCAGAAUUCAGUGAAUCAUCGAAUCUUUGAACGCACAUUGCGCCCGCCAGUAUUCUGGCGGGCAUGCCUGUUCGAGCGUCAUUUCAACCCUCAAGCACAGCUUGGUGUUGGGACUCGCGUUAAUUCGCGUUCCUCAAAUUGAUUGGCGGUCACGUCGAGCUUCCAUAGCGUAGUAGUAAAACCCUCGUUACUGGUAAUCGUCGCGGCCACGCCGUUAAACCCCAACUUCUGAAUGUGACCCUCGAUCCAUGCGAGC